This 250-nucleotide unclassified non-coding RNA is filed under the name Ascomycota sp. RNAcentral describes it as "partial contains small subunit ribosomal RNA, internal transcribed spacer 1, and 5.8S ribosomal RNA". The stretch from base 1 to 47 matches the Rfam family "Eukaryotic small subunit ribosomal RNA", at positions 1785 to 1831 of the family's 1831-position model. The record is from RNAcentral. Lineage: Eukaryota; Fungi; Ascomycota.
AAAGUCGUAACAAGGUCUCCGUUGGUGAACCAGCGGAGGGAUCAUUAAAAGAAGCCGAAAGGCUACUUACAACCAUCGUGAACUCGUCCAAGUUGCUUCGGCGGCGCGGUGCCCUUCGGGGUGCCGCAGUCCGGCCCCCUCGGGGGUGCGGGGCGCCCGCCGGAGGUACAAAACCCUUCUGUAUUAUAGUGGAAUUCUGAUUAAACAAACAAAUAAGUUAAAACUUUCAACAACGGAUCUCUUGGUUCUG